CCCCAGCGCCACAAGUGGGAGUCGCUUUUAUUGGGCCUAAAGCGUUCGUAGCCGGUAUUAUAAGUCUUUUGUGAAAUUGUUUGGCUUAACCAAACAGCGAGCAAGAGAUACUGUAAUUCUAGGAACCAGGAGGAGUAUGGAGUAUUCCAGGGGGAGCGGUAAAAUGUAAUAAUCCCUGGAGGACUACCAGUGGCGAAGGCGCCAUACUAGAAUGGAUUCGACGGUGAGGGACGAAGGCCAGGGGA
Molecule: ribosomal RNA, 245 nt
Filed under: uncultured archaeon
Lineage: Archaea
Description: partial 16S ribosomal RNA
Rfam family: Archaeal small subunit ribosomal RNA
Source: RNAcentral